This 254-nucleotide ribosomal RNA is filed under the name uncultured bacterium. RNAcentral's name for it is "partial 16S ribosomal RNA". It matches the Rfam family "Bacterial small subunit ribosomal RNA", at positions 524 to 776 of the family's 1533-position model. The record is from RNAcentral.
UACGUAGGGGCCUAGCGUUGUCCGGAUUUAUUGGGCGUAAAGAGCUCGUAGGCGGUUCGGCAAGUCGGAUGUGAAAUCUCCACGCUCAACGUGGAGGGGCCAUUCGAAACUGCUGUGACUCGAGUCCGGUAGGGGAGUGUGGAAUUCCCGGUGUAGCGGUGAAAUGCGCAGAUAUCGGGAGGAACACCAGUGGCGAAGGCGGCCUGCUGGGCUACUGCUGACACUGAUGCACGACAGCGUGGGGAGCAAACAGG